Molecule: unclassified non-coding RNA, 148 nt
Organism: Macaca fascicularis (crab-eating macaque)
Lineage: Eukaryota; Metazoa; Chordata; Mammalia; Primates; Cercopithecidae
Rfam family: Metazoan signal recognition particle RNA
About the family: The signal recognition particle (SRP) is a universally conserved ribonucleoprotein. It is involved in the co-translational targeting of proteins to membranes.
Source: Ensembl
GCCGGGCAUGGUGGCACAUGCCUGUAAUCCCAGCUACUUGGGAGGCUGAGGCAGGAGAAUCGCUCGAACCUGGGAGGCGGAGCUUGCAGUGAGCUGAGAUCGUGCCACUGCACUCAAGCCUGGGUGACAGAGCGAGACUCUGUCUCAA